Molecule: ribosomal RNA, 764 nt
Filed under: uncultured Streptococcus sp.
Lineage: Bacteria; Bacillati; Bacillota; Bacilli; Lactobacillales; Streptococcaceae
Description: bacterial SSU rRNA
Rfam family: Bacterial small subunit ribosomal RNA
Source: RNAcentral
GAUGAACGCUGGCGGCGUGCCUAUACAUGCAAGUAGAACGCUGAAGCUUGGUGCUUGCACCGAGCGGGAGAGUUGCGAACGGGUGAGUAACGCGUAGGUAACCUGCCUCUUAGCGGGGGAUAACUAUUGGAAACGAUAGCUAAUACCGCAUAAAAGUCGGCAUUGCAUGAUGUUGACUUGAAAGGUGCAACUGCAUCACUAAGAGAUGGACCUGCGUUGUAUUAGCUAGUUGGUGAGGUAACGGCUCACCAAGGCGACGAUACAUAGCCGACCUGAGAGGGUGAUCGGCCACACUGGGACUGAGACACGGCCCAGACUCCUACGGGAGGCAGCAGUAGGGAAUCUUCGGCAAUGGACGGAAGUCUGACCGAGCAACGCCGCGUGAGUGAAGAAGGUUUUCGGAUCGUAAAGCUCUGUUGUAAGAGAAGAACGAGUGUGAGAGUGGAAAGUUCACACUGUGACGGUAACUUACCAGAAAGGGACGGCUAACUACGUGCCAGCAGCCGCGGUAAUACGUAGGUCCCGAGCGUUAUCCGGAUUUAUUGGGCGUAAAGCGAGCGCAGGCGGUUAGAUAAGUCUGAAGUUAAAGGCUGUGGCUUAACCAUAGUACGCUUUGGAAACUGUUUAACUUGAGUGCAAGAGGGGAGAGUGGAAUUCCAUGUGUAGCGGUGAAAUGCGUAGAUAUAUGGAGGAACACCGGUGGCGAAAGCGGCUCUCUGGUCUGUAACUGACGCUGAGGCUCGAAAGCGUGGGGAGCAAACAGG